This 229-nucleotide ribosomal RNA is filed under the name uncultured bacterium. Its description in RNAcentral is "partial 16S ribosomal RNA". It matches the Rfam family "Bacterial small subunit ribosomal RNA", at positions 568 to 796 of the family's 1533-position model. The record is from RNAcentral.
UGCGUAGGCGGCUAUGUAAGUCAGAGGUGAAAUCUUUCAGCUUAACUGGAAAAUUGCCUUUGAAACUGCGUAGCUUGAAUAACGUUGAGGUCAGCGGAAUGUGACAUGUAGCGGUGAAAUGCAUAGAUAUGUCAUAGAACACCAAUUGCGAAGGCAGCUGGCUGGGCGUUUAUUGACGCUGAGGCACGAAAGCGUGGGGAGCGAACAGGAUUAGAUACCCUGGUAGUCC